UGGGGAAUUUUGGACAAUGGGGGAAACCCUGAUUCAGCCAUCCCGCGUGUGCGAUGAAGGCCUUCGGGUUGUAAAGCACUUUUGGCAGGAAAGAAACGUCAUGGGUUAAUACCCCGUGAAACUGACGGUACCUUCAGAAUAAGCACCGGCUAACUACGUGCCAGCAGCCGCGGUAAUACGUAGGGUGCAAGCGUUAAUCGGAAUUACUGGGCGUAAAGCGUGCGCAGGCGGUUCGGAAAGAAAGAUGUGAAAUCCCAGAGCUCAACUUUGGAACUGCAUUUUUAACUACCGGGCUAGAGUGUGUCAGAGGGAGGUGGAAUUCCGCGUGUAGCAGUGAAAUGCGUAGAUAUGCGGAGGAACACCGAUGGCGAAGGCAGCCUCCUGGGAUAACACUGACGCUCAUGAACGAAAGCGUGGGGAGCAAACAG
This 428-nucleotide ribosomal RNA is filed under the name Acidobacteriota bacterium. Its description in RNAcentral is "Acidobacteria bacterium partial 16S ribosomal RNA". It matches the Rfam family "Bacterial small subunit ribosomal RNA", at positions 355 to 775 of the family's 1533-position model. Lineage: Bacteria; Pseudomonadati; Acidobacteriota. The record is from RNAcentral.